CUAGGAACUGCAGAAAAGGAUGGGGAAGAGUCAGGGAAAGGCAAAGACAGGCAACACUUCUGUCCAUUAGUCAUAGGACAACUCUUUCAUUUCAAGGGAGUUGUUCUGAUACAGCUCUGCUCAGCACUGAACAGAGGGUGAUUAAUGUUUAAUUAGUUACAAUGCACCUUUUCUAGCAAUUAGUGAACACCUCCCCCAGUGAUUGAGACCAUCUCAGGGUCUGAGACUGGGUUUCCAUCACCACCCCAGCACCUGUCUCCUUGUUGCAGCUUGGUUUGGAAAAUCACCCACAUGAAGAAAUGUCCUUCUCUUUGCCAGCUGGGCUCCAGAGGGUUUAACCAACCACUAAUAGGACCCCUCAUCUGCUGAGUUUUUGCUCAUUCAUGGUCCUGCCUCCCACCACAAACAAAGCACAUAUGGAAACCUCUACUGGGAUUACUCCACUUGUGUCACUCAAAAGGCACUGACAGUUCCAGUGCCUCAAACAGUGUCCCAUACCGUGUUUCCACACAGGGAAAAGCUAAUAAUUAUAGCAGUGACUCUUUCUGUGACUGGGUAAUAUGUACAGGGUGUAUGAUCCAUUUCUCUAAAAGAAAAAAAAAAAAAGUACUUUUAUAUGGCAGCAUUGGCAGUGAAACUGAUUUUUAACAAGUACUUCAGGGAUUCCAGAUGUCACUUGACAAGUUGAGCAAAAGUGCUAGCUUUUCCAUCAGUCUGUAACAAGUAAUCAUCUAACAGUUGCAAGAUUACUCAAGUGGCUCUAAGAUUAUUUUUGCAGCCAAUUUCAGUCCAUGGAAUUGUAGAAAUAGUCCCUGUCAUGGUUUGACCCUGGCACAAUGCCAGGGCCUUUAUGAAAGGUGUAUUUUCAAAAUGCUUAUUGUGAGAUGUGACUCGGAAACAGAACAAAGCAGGUUUUAACUUGGGGAUGGAGGGAAAAACACAACACUUUAAUAAUCUACAACACAGAAACAUAAGGGAAAAAGAAAAAAACCACACACAACAAUCCACAAUGGAACACCUCCAAAACACUCCUCCUCCCCCCACCCCUCUAACACUCAAUCCCCUCUAACACUCAAUUUUCAGUCCAAUACCCUCCUUCACACAACCGCCCCCAGUUCAUCAGGAGAGAGGAGUCUCCCUCUUGCACCAUGGGCCUCCCCUGGAAACACAGUGGAACCUCCUGUGCUUCCAUGUCACACGUGUCAGCUGCCCAGAGAGAAGCUGCUGUGGUGACCAUCUUCCUUCCAUGUCCAGUGCUCUCACCACCGGCCAUGGACCCAAAUGCUCCUUAGGUCCUUUUAAGAAUGCAUUGCCCAGUUCCAAGAUGUGGCAGCCUCUCACCAUUUGGGACACCUGUCCCCCCCCCAUAUUUUUACUCUCCUGGGGCCUGGUUCUCGGGAACAGAGAUCUUUCGCUGAAGGCAGAGGGCUCCACCACACCCUCCCCCUCAGUCUCUGUUCCCUCUACUUCUCCUUCUUGGCUUCGGGCCAACUGCCUCCCUCAAGGUGCAUUCUCUGACAUCUCGGAAGAAAUUGGUUUCGCCCGUGGCUACGUAAAGAGAAAAGUUCAGCCAAAGCCACUCCAAUCAUCUCCUCCAUCUAGGGCACUCUCAUCUGCUAGCAUUUUCUUCAACUACUCAAACCUUUCCUUCUUUCCCAUCCUCCGUCCCCUCUUAAUCCUCAGCUGGGGAGGAUCAGUGUUUUUACAGCUUCCAUUGUUUCAAUACCAAAAGAGUUAAAAGCUCAGCCCGGUCUCCCAGCGGCUGGGCACCUUGCCCCCCCCACUUCUUCUCCUGGCCAUGGUGCCAGCACAAGAUACCAAAUUUCAAGCCAGCACAGUCUCUAUCACUCUCUCCCGGGGGGGCUGCCCAAACAUCCCAGGUCUCCUCCACCCUGCACCUUGCAGGGCUCCGGCCUCCCUCCCCACAGGCCGCAUGGCCUCCCCUGCCCCACCCAGACACAGCUGGGCAGGGAGAGGUCAGACCAGCUCACCAGCCGCAUCCAAAGAGGGAGUUUCUGCGGGACUGCUCUGCUUUUAACCCCUGUGUGUUCUCAGAGGUGUAUCCAAAUCCCCAGUGGCCACACUAGGUACCAAUUUCAAAUCUGGCCACUGAUUGGUUUGACCACGACUUUUCCAGAAACUCACUUCCGGGUCAAACCAAGACAAUGCCUAAUAUCUAAUCUAAACUGUGUUAUUGAAAGAAUUGCUAUGAAGGUUGUAGAUCAUCUGUAGGUCAAAGCACUGAUUGAAGUCCUGAGGCCUCAACACCAGGCCCUGUGUGAGGCCUGAACACCAGGCCCUGGGCCAAAGCUGACCUCUUGAUGAACCUUCCAACCAAAGGUUAUCUUUGCAUCUGCUCAUUAAUGAAUUAUUAUUAGCAGUAUGAUCUCUGUACAUUUUCACUGGUGAAAUGUGGAUUUACCUGUGCAUUUAAAAAUCAGACAAGGCCCCAGUCUGGCCUUGUUUGGGGCUUAAUGAUCAAAGUCACCUCCCUUGGUUCCUCCUUGAGCCCUGGCCAGGCUUUGGGAGGAACCCAAGAGGAGGAUGAAACCAGAUGUUCCUGCACUAGAAGUGCUGUCAGUUUGUUCAUUCAGCACUGUCAGAGCUGGGCCCUCUCACAGCGAGGUUGGAGCCUCACCUGUGGCUGGAGGCACCUUCAGGAAUUCCCAGUGUCCAGGAGUGGCUCUGCAGCCCUUGGCUGUGACAGCUUCCCCCAGCUGCUGUGUGGAUCUGGGGGAUGGUAAAGCCUGACAGGAACUGGUGCUGGAUCUUUCUUAAUCACUGCUGCAAUCUUUGAUCUUUGGUGGUGAUGAUUGAGUGCAUUGCUGAGCUGCUCCUAUUGUAAUUAUUUUCAAAUAAUUAUGUGCUUUACUUUUGUAAUUUUUGCAGAUUUACCUUAUAUAAAUGACACAAUUCCUUCAGUUGGUGUCUGUGUCUUUGGUGCUGACCCUGCCCAUUGGCAAAACUGACCCUGUGGGCUCCACAGAACCAAGGGGCCAUUGUGACACUGCAGGGCCUUGUGUGACCAGGGGACCAUGGUGACCCUGUGGGGUUUAAUGGAACCAAGGGGCCAUUGUGACACUGGGGGCCUCAUAGAGUCACAGAGACCAUUCUGACACUGUGGGGACUUGUGGGGACAAGGGUCCAUUAUUUUCCUCUCCCUGGCACUGCCCAGUUCAGCCUUUCCCUGCCCCUGCCCCAGCCCAGCAGAGCAGCAGAGUCAGGUCUGGCCCUGCAGCAGGAACUGGCGGCACUGGAGAUGAUCAAUUGUCUACACCAGGUGAGCUGACACCUGGAGCUUGUUCUCCAAAAUCCCAGGCCUAUGGAAACCAUAUAAUGCCCAUUGUGUGAGGAGGGGAACUGGAAGCUCACCAGCCUCAGUGUCCUGCCAGCUCAGCCAGGCCCACUGGAACAUUGGGGUCCACAACCACCAGGGACCACCAGAGAGACCCCCAGGAGAGUAGGGGAGGGGAAAUACGUAAGUGAUUUUGGGAAAAUUAUUAUCAGAUGUAUAUUUAGUCUGGGACAAUCAAUGAAUAUCUAUGCAAAAUACAGUAUAUAAAAAAGAAACUUUCCUGUACUCAGCAUGCACGGCUUUGGGAGAAACCAUUCCCAGUGCAUCCAGCUGAAUAAAGAAUGCUGCUUCUCAAUGCUA
Molecule: long non-coding RNA, 3655 nt
Organism: Passer domesticus (house sparrow)
Lineage: Eukaryota; Metazoa; Chordata; Aves; Passeriformes; Passeridae
Exons: 2
Source: RefSeq, a predicted model, not a curated record